UGUAUAAUGGGUCAGCGACUUAUAUUCUGUAGCAAGGUUAACCGAAUAGGGGAGCCGAAGGGAAACCGAGUCUUAACUGGGCGUUAAGUUGCAGGGUAUAGACCCGAAACCCGGUGAUCUAGCCAUGGGCAGGUUGAAGGUUGGGUAACACUAACUGGAGGACCGAACCGACUAAUGUUGAAAAAUUAGCGGAUGACUUGUGGCUGGGGGUGAAAGGCCAAUCAAACCGGGAGAUAGCUGGUUCUCCCCGAAAGCUAUUUAGGUAGCGCCUCGUGAAUUCAUCUCCGGGGGUAGAGCACUGUUUCGGCAAGGGGGUCAUCCCGACUUACCAACCCGAUGCAAACUGCGAAUACCGGAGAAUGUUAUCACGGGAGACACACGGCGGGUGCUAACGUCCGUCGUGAAGAGGGAAACAACCCAGACCGCCAGCUAAGGUCCCAAAGUCAUGGUUAAGUGGGAAACGAUGUGGGAAGGCCCAGACAGCCAGGAUGUUGGCUUAGAAGCAGCCAUCAUUUAAAGAAAGCGUAAUAGCUCACUGGUCGAGUCGGCCUGCGCGGAAGAUGUAACGGGGCUAAACCAUGCACCGAAGCUGCGGCAGCGACGCUGAUGCGUUGUUGGGUAGGGGAGCGUUCUGUAAGCCUGCGAAGGUGUGCUGUGAGGCAUGCUGGAGGUAUCAGAAGUGCGAAUGCUGACAUAAGUAACGAUAAAGCGGGUGAAAAGCCCGCUCGCCGGAAGACCAAGGGUUCCUGUCCAACGUUAAUCGGGGCAGGGUGAGUCGACCCCUAAGGCGAGGCCGAAAGGCGUAGUCGAUGGGAAACAGGUUAAUAUUCCUGUACUUGGUGUUACUGCGAAGGGGGGACGGAGAAGGCUAUGUUGGCCGGGCGACGGUUGUCCCGGUUUAAGCGUGUAGGCUGGUUUUCCAGGCAAAUCCGGAAAAUCAAGGCUGAGGCGUGAUGACGAGGCACUACGGUGCUGAAGCAACAAAUGCCCUGCUUCCAGGAAAAGCCUCUAAGCAUCAGGUAACAUCAAAUCGUACCCCAAACCGACACAGGUGGUCAGGUAGAGAAUACCAAGGCGCUUGAGAGAACUCGGGUGAAGGAACUAGGCAAAAUGGUGCCGUAACUUCGGGAGAAGGCACGCUGAUAUGUAGGUGAAGUCCCUUGCGGAUGGAGCUGAAAUCAGUCGAAGAUACCAGCUGGCUGCAACUGUUUAUUAAAAACACAGCACUGUGCAAACACGAAAGUGGACGUAUACGGUGUGACGCCUGCCCGGUGCCGGAAGGUUAAUUGAUGGGGUCAGCGCAAGCGAAGCUCUUGAUCGAAGCCCCGGUAAACGGCGGCCGUAACUAUAACGGUCCUAAGGUAGCGAAAUUCCUUGUCGGGUAAGUUCCGACCUGCACGAAUGGCGUAAUGAUGGCCAGGCUGUCUCCACCCGAGACUCAGUGAAAUUGAACUCGCUGUGAAGAUGCAGUGUACCCGCGGCAAGACGGAAAGACCCCGUGAACCUUUACUAUAGCUUGACACUGAACAUUGAGCCUUGAUG
RNAcentral lists this ribosomal RNA (1542 nucleotides) under Escherichia coli. RNAcentral's name for it is "partial 23S ribosomal RNA". It matches the Rfam family "Bacterial large subunit ribosomal RNA", at positions 609 to 2136 of the family's 2925-position model. The record is from RNAcentral. Lineage: Bacteria; Pseudomonadati; Pseudomonadota; Gammaproteobacteria; Enterobacterales; Enterobacteriaceae.